This 94-nucleotide ribosomal RNA is filed under the name Corynebacterium amycolatum. The record is from RNAcentral. Lineage: Bacteria; Bacillati; Actinomycetota; Actinomycetes; Mycobacteriales; Corynebacteriaceae.
GUCGGUGGUGUUAGCGGUGGGGUCACGCCCGGUCCCAUUCCGAACCCGGAAGCUAAGUCCACCAGCGCCGAUGGUACUGCACUCGGGAGGGUGU